RNAcentral lists this ribosomal RNA (1851 nucleotides) under Escherichia coli. Its description in RNAcentral is "partial 23S ribosomal RNA". It matches the Rfam family "Bacterial large subunit ribosomal RNA", at positions 1 to 1869 of the family's 2925-position model. Lineage: Bacteria; Pseudomonadati; Pseudomonadota; Gammaproteobacteria; Enterobacterales; Enterobacteriaceae. The record is from RNAcentral.
GGGUUGUGAGGUUAAGCGACUAAGCGUACACGGUGGAUGCCCUGGCAGUCAGAGGCGAUGAAGGACGUGCUAAUCUGCGAUAAGCGUCGGUAAGGUGAUAUGAACCGUUAUAACCGGCGAUUUCCGAAUGGGGAAACCCAGUGUGAUUCGUCACACUAUCAUUAACUGAAUCCAUAGGUUAAUGAGGCGAACCGGGGGAACUGAAACAUCUAAGUACCCCGAGGAAAAGAAAUCAACCGAGAUUCCCCCAGUAGCGGCGAGCGAACGGGGAGCAGCCCAGAGCCUGAAUCAGUGUGUGUGUUAGUGGAAGCGUCUGGAAAGGCGCGCGAUACAGGGUGACAGCCCCGUACACAAAAAUGCACAUGCUGUGAGCUCGAUGAGUAGGGCGGGACACGUGGUAUCCUGUCUGAAUAUGGGGGGACCAUCCUCCAAGGCUAAAUACUCCUGACUGACCGAUAGUGAACCAGUACCGUGAGGGAAAGGCGAAAAGAACCCCGGCGAGGGGAGUGAAAAAGAACCUGAAACCGUGUACGUACAAGCAGUGGGAGCACGCUUAGGCGUGUGACUGCGUACCUUUUGUAUAAUGGGUCAGCGACUUAUAUUCUGUAGCAAGGUUAACCGAAUAGGGGAGCCGAAGGGAAACCGAGUCUUAACUGGGCGUUAAGUUGCAGGGUAUAGACCCGAAACCCGGUGAUCUAGCCAUGGGCAGGUUGAAGGUUGGGUAACACUAACUGGAGGACCGAACCGACUAAUGUUGAAAAAUUAGCGGAUGACUUGUGGCUGGGGGUGAAAGGCCAAUCAAACCGGGAGAUAGCUGGUUCUCCCCGAAAGCUAUUUAGGUAGCGCCUCGUGAAUUCAUCUCCGGGGGUAGAGCACUGUUUCGGCAAGGGGGUCAUCCCGACUUACCAACCCGAUGCAAACUGCGAAUACCGGAGAAUGUUAUCACGGGAGACACACGGCGGGUGCUAACGUCCGUCGUGAAGAGGGAAACAACCCAGACCGCCAGCUAAGGUCCCAAAGUCAUGGUUAAGUGGGAAACGAUGUGGGAAGGCCCAGACAGCCAGGAUGUUGGCUUAGAAGCAGCCAUCAUUUAAAGAAAGCGUAAUAGCUCACUGGUCGAGUCGGCCUGCGCGGAAGAUGUAACGGGGCUAAACCAUGCACCGAAGCUGCGGCAGCGACACUAUGUGUUGUUGGGUAGGGGAGCGUUCUGUAAGCCUGUGAAGGUGUACUGUGAGGUAUGCUGGAGGUAUCAGAAGUGCGAAUGCUGACAUAAGUAACGAUAAAGCGGGUGAAAAGCCCGCUCGCCGGAAGACCAAGGGUUCCUGUCCAACGUUAAUCGGGGCAGGGUGAGUCGACCCCUAAGGCGAGGCCGAAAGGCGUAGUCGAUGGGAAACAGGUUAAUAUUCCUGUACUUGGUGUUACUGCGAAGGGGGGACGGAGAAGGCUAUGUUGGCCGGGCGACGGUUGUCCCGGUUUAAGCGUGUAGGCUGGUUUUCCAGGCAAAUCCGGAAAAUCAAGGCUGAGGCGUGAUGACGAGGCACUACGGUGCUGAAGCAACAAAUGCCCUGCUUCCAGGAAAAGCCUCUAAGCAUCAGGUAACAUCAAAUCGUACCCCAAACCGACACAGGUGGUCAGGUAGAGAAUACCAAGGCGCUUGAGAGAACUCGGGUGAAGGAACUAGGCAAAAUGGUGCCGUAACUUCGGGAGAAGGCACGCUGAUAUGUAGGUGAAGUCCCUCGCGGAUGGAGCUGAAAUCAGUCGAAGAUACCAGCUGGCUGCAACUGUUUAUUAAAAACACAGCACUGUGCAAACACGAAAGUGGACGUAUACGGUGUGACGCCUGCCCGGUGC